GCAGCUCAGACCCUCGUUCUCGUGCAAAAUCCAGUGGUUACGAAAUUCUGGAAGUGGCUAAAAUUCUCGAAGAUGCUAUUUUUUGUUUACUUAAUCACCACAAAGGUUAGAAAAGGGCUGCUCUGGGAAGCCAGCAUGAGAUUCCUGCCCGAGAUGAAAACCAGGGAAGUACAGGAAUGACCUGGUGGAAAUUCAGAGCCUGAUUUUGAUUUCAGUCACAUAGGUCUUAAGCCACUGCAAUUUUUUGAACUUCAGUUGGGCUAUUCCACUUCAUUUCACAUGCAAAAAGUGAAUUAGGCCCCAGAAGAACCUGCAGCUGCCUGUUACUUCAUUUUAUUGUAGUGUUGCUUCAUGUUUUAACAUCUCUUGUUUGUGGCAUUUAUAUGGUCCAGUUGCUCCCUCCCAAAGAGAAAAUCUGAUGGGAAAGGACAGAAGGGAAUAAACUUCUGCAAGAACCUACUUGUAGCUUCACUGCCAAAUCCUUUGAAAAGCAGCAUUAUUGCUGUUGAAAAAAAACCCUGUUCGUAUAAAGCUUACUGGCGUGCUUCUUGAUAGACCUUGUAUCAGAUGCACUGUUCCUAAAGUGCCUGAGGAAUAUUUUUGGCAGAAUAGGUGUACGUUUGUUGAGAGGGUCAAAUUUACUCUACUGGUAUGCUGUUAAUCCCCAGGGCAAUCUCCUGUUACAGGAGAAUGGUAGUGAGUAGUCAUGCAAGUUCUCUCAUUCUUUGCAAGUGAUGUGCCAGUGUCCCAAGCUGGUGACAGCACUGCAUUUCUCCACUGAGACUGUCAGGUAGGGAAAGAAUCAAAAAAGGUUUCUUUUCUUGCACCUGAAAAACAGAAACUGAGAUACAACUUCAGAACACUACAUAUACUAUAGGCAAUUAGGCACCAAGAAAGGGCAGGAAAUAGCUAAAGCAAAAUAUCAGAUCCAAAAAUAGAUAAAAAUUUAGCUUUAGAUAGAUUUAUUCUGGAAGUUAGGAGAAGGGCUUUCCAAGGCUUUGGAAAAUUUUUCUAAUAGUAGCUGUCAGAGCAACAAACAAAAAGAAAACUGAUUUAAAACUAGAGCUUUUUAUACAUAAAAAGAAAUCUCUGAGAUGACCUGAAAUAACACAAGUCAGAACUCAGUGAUCCAAUAGAUUAUAUGUCCAUAUUACCAAGUAAAUUUGCCAGUCAACACCAGCUGCUGACGUUGGACAUCAGGCUUGAUAUGUCAUGAGUGAAUCAAGUUAGAGCUCUUUCUACUGAGACUGAAAUCACUAAUGUAUUUCAUUUAGUCCAGCAAAAGCCAUCCAGCUGCUCUGGCUUGUAUAUUACCUUCAGCCUGUAUAUGACUAAUACAGGAUGAAUUCAUAAAAUCAAUUCCUGAUGAAAGCUCCAUAUCUUAUUAUUAAUCUCCUUUUUCAUAUGAACCUUAUGAAAAUACUGAUGUGAGCCCAUGAUGCUGUAUGAGCAGCAAUAUGUUACAUUCUAUACAAAAAUAUGCAUGAGCAUGCAGGUGUUUGCAAUGUAAACACCAAUCCAAACAAAAGGUUGUUGUGAUUUUGUGUACUGAGGUGCAGUUCAAAACAAGGGGCUCACUGACUGUGGGCAUUUGAGGUUGCAGUUCGGUAGUGUCUGUACCUAUUGUAACAUGUUUUGUUUUGCACAUCCUUUCUUCAGACUUCCAAUUUGGAGUACAGUUUGAGAACACAGCAUGAUGGUUAUUAUGAGUGAGUCCAGGAAGGCAGUGAAUGCACGUUGACAGGUACUUCCUCUGGUUACAGAAGACCCAAACAGGGAUCUUCCAAACAAGGGUCAAAUUAACAUUUUCAAAUGGAAAUGCAUCUAUCCAUUCUGAGCUUACAGUGGUUUAGGUGGCAAGUAGGGUGUCUGUAGGCAGCUUGUGGUGUCACUCUUUCUGUCUGCAUUGGUUGGAACUGGGGUGUUCAUGAGGCAACUGAAAAGGAGAAAUUAAAAUUCAGUUGUAGGCCAGGUGGUGACUGAAGAGACAUACCUUGUGGGCUAAACUUGACUUGUUUGUUUAGAUUUAACUGUGAGAGGGUUCUUUGCAGUCCAAACAGUAAAUAGGAAAACAACCUGAGAAAGAAAUCUCAUAGGAAGAAAAAUCUGAUUAAGAAAUUCUUAUCAAUCAAAACAAUCUUCUACAGCAUGAAAGUUAAGAGUUCCUAACUUUAUUUCUUUUUUCCCUGUUUCUGCUCUGAACAAAAUUUUUGUGUGUUUGAAUGAGUUUCAGUCUGAGUUUGGGAAUGCGACCUCUCCUUUUCCCACUGCCAGUCUAAACAGUCCUGAAAUGAGAAGGAUGUUUGAAAUAAACUCCAAAUCCCAUUUUGGGUCUGUGUUCUUUAUGAGGACUAAUUAACUCUUAAAGAAAACUGUAGCUUUGCAAAGUUUUGGCCACACAAAUUAUAAUUAUUGCUGUUAUGAUGCCUGUAUUUUUCUUUUUCAGGACAAAACCUUGCUUAAUAUUUAUUCCAAUUUCCAUGUACAUCAGUGGUAAUACUGGCUGUUUAUGGACUUCACAAUGUGCCUCCAACACAGAUAUAAUCUGAAUUUGUUCAAAACUAAAAAUAAAUGAGAAGUCUGUAUGUUUUGUAGGUUUUUGAAUAUUUACUAAUUAAAUGCACUACUUGA
Pezoporus occidentalis (night parrot) is the source of this 2631-nucleotide long non-coding RNA. RefSeq lists it as uncharacterized. The transcript is spliced from 2 exons. The record is from RefSeq and is a predicted model, not a curated record. Lineage: Eukaryota; Metazoa; Chordata; Aves; Psittaciformes; Psittacidae.